GGAGAGGUGUCCGAGUGGCCGAAGGAGCACGACUGGAAAUCGUGUGUACGCUAAUCCCGUACCGAGAGUUCGAAUCUCUCCCUCUCCGCCA
Molecule: transfer RNA, 91 nt
Filed under: Geobacter sp.
Lineage: Bacteria; Pseudomonadati; Thermodesulfobacteriota; Desulfuromonadia; Geobacterales; Geobacteraceae
Description: tRNA-Ser
Rfam family: tRNA
About the family: Transfer RNA (tRNA) molecules are approximately 80 nucleotides in length.
Source: RNAcentral